Non-coding RNA from Cucurbita pepo subsp. pepo (vegetable marrow), 336 nucleotides. The record is from RefSeq and is a predicted model, not a curated record. NCBI's taxonomy places the organism in Eukaryota, Viridiplantae, Streptophyta, Magnoliopsida, Cucurbitales, Cucurbitaceae.
AGGUUGACCUCCACAUAGCCUCGAUCGUUUAAAUUAUUUAAUCAAUUUAGAUUUGUUGGGUUAUCUCCGCCUUAAACCUUUGGGGAUUAGGGUUUUAGGGCACAGCGACGACGAACUGGAAUUAGCUCCAAAUACUGAUCAUUUGGGAACUGGAAUGCUUCUCCCGAUCUUUCCUCCUUGUUUGUUUUUCCAUUAAGCCGCAUAAGCCUGUAAGCGAUCAAGGGGUUGGCAUCAUCCUUCAAUGAUGUUGAGGACGACGAUGGAGACCCAGAUCGGUUAAUCUUUGCAGCUUUAUCUUUAUCAAAUGCCUUCUGAACAUCGUUUUUAAGCUCCCUG